GGCUAACACAUGCAAGUCGAGCGGUAGCACAGAGAGCUUGCUCUCGGGUGACGAGCGGCGGACGGGUGAGUAAUGUCUGGGAAACUGCCUGAUGGAGGGGGAUAACUACUGGAAACGGUAGCUAAUACCGCAUAAUGUCGCAAGACCAAAGUGGGGGACCUUCGGGCCUCAUGCCAUCAGAUGUGCCCAGAUGGGAUUAGCUAGUAGGUGGGGUAACGGCUCACCUAGGCGACGAUCCCUAGCUGGUCUGAGAGGAUGACCAGCCACACUGGAACUGAGACACGGUCCAGACUCCUACGGGAGGCAGCAGUGGGGAAUAUUGCACAAUGGGCGCAAGCCUGAUGCAGCCAUGCCGCGUGUGUGAAGAAGGCCUUCGGGUUGUAAAGCACUUUCAGCGGGGAGGAAGGCGUUAAGGUUAAUAACCUUGGCGAUUGACGUUACCCGCAGAAGAAGCACCGGCUAACUCCGUGCCAGCAGCCGCGGUAAUACGGAGGGUGCAAGCGUUAAUCGGAAUUACUGGGCGUAAAGCGCACGCAGGCGGUCUGUCAAGUCGGAUGUGAAAUCCCCGGGCUCAACCUGGGAACUGCAUUCGAAACUGGCAGGCUAGAGUCUUGUAGAGGGGGGUAGAAUUCCAGGUGUAGCGGUGAAAUGCGUAGAGAUCUGGAGGAAUACCGGUGGCGAAGGCGGCCCCCUGGACAAAGACUGACGCUCAGGUGCGAAAGCGUGGGGAGCAAACCGGGAUUAGAUACCCUGGUAGUCCACGCCGUAAACGAUGUCGAUUUGGAGGUUGUGCCCUUGAGGCGUGGCUUCCGGAGCUAACGCGUUAAAUCGACCGCCUGGGGAGUACGGCCGCAAGGUUAAAACUCAAAUGAAUUGACGGGGGCCCGCACAAGCGGUGGAGCAUGUGGUUUAAUUCGAUGCAACGCGAAGAACCUUACCUGGUCUUGACAUCCACAGAACUUUCCAGAGAUGGAUUGGUGCCUUCGGGAACUGUGAGACAGGUGCUGCAUGGCUGUCGUCAGCUCGUGUUGUGAAAUGUUGGGUUAAGUCCCGCAACGAGCGCAACCCUUAUCCUUUGUUGCCAGCGGUUAGGCCGGGAACUCAAAGGAGACUGCCAGUGAUAAACUGGAGGAAGGUGGGGAUGACGUCAAGUCAUCAUGGCCCUUACGACCAGGGCUACACACGUGCUACAAUGGCAUAUACAAAGAGAAGCGACCUCGCGAGAGCAAGCGGACCUCAUAAAGUAUGUCGUAGUCCGGAUUGGAGUCUGCAACUCGACUCCAUGAAGUCGGAAUCGCUAGUAAUCGUAGAUCAGAAUGCUACGGUGAAUACGUUCCCGGGCCUUGUACACACCGCCCGUCACACCAUGGGAGUGGGUUGCAAAAGAAGUAGGUAGCUUAACCUUCGGGAGGGCGCUUACCACUUG
Molecule: ribosomal RNA, 1426 nt
Filed under: Klebsiella pneumoniae
Lineage: Bacteria; Pseudomonadati; Pseudomonadota; Gammaproteobacteria; Enterobacterales; Enterobacteriaceae
Description: bacterial SSU rRNA
Rfam family: Bacterial small subunit ribosomal RNA
Source: RNAcentral